CUACGGGCCGCACCAGUGAGGAAUAUUGCACAAUGGGGGGAACCCUGAUGCAGCAACGCCGCGUGGAGGAUGACGCAUUUCGGUGUGUAAACUCCUUUUAUAUGUCAAGAAAAUGACGGUAGCAUAUGAAUAAGCACCGGCUAACUCCGUGCCAGCAGCCGCGGUAAUACGGAGGGUGCAAGCGUUACUCGGAAUCACUGGGCGUAAAGGACGCGUAGGCGGGUUGGAAAGUCAGGUGUGAAAUCCUACAGCUUAACUGUAGAACUGCAAUUGAAACUUCUAAUCUAGGGUAUGGGAGGGGGAGAUGGAAUUAGGGGUGUAGGGGUAAAAUCCGUAGAUAUCACUAGGAAUACCUAAAGCGAAGGCGAUCUCCUGGAACAUUACUGACGCUAAGGCGUGAAAGCGUGGGGAGCAAACAGGAUUAGAUACCCUCGUAGUC
Molecule: ribosomal RNA, 439 nt
Filed under: uncultured bacterium
Lineage: Bacteria
Description: partial 16S ribosomal RNA
Rfam family: Bacterial small subunit ribosomal RNA
Source: RNAcentral